CAAGUCGAGGGGCAGCACAGGUAGUAAUACUGGGUGGCGACCGGCAAACGGGUGCGGAACACGUACACAACCUUCCUUUUGGUGGGGGAUAGCCUUUGGAAACGGAGAUUAAUACCCCAUAAUACAUUUGAACUGCAUAGUUUUUAUGUUAAAGAUUUAUCGCCGGAAGAUGGGUGUGCGUAUGAUUAGGUAGUUGGUAGGGUAACGGCCUACCAAGCCGACGAUCAUUAACUGGUGUGAGAGCACGACCAGUCACACGGGCACUGAGACACGGGCCCGACUCCUACGGGAGGCAGCAGUAAGGAAUAUUGGUCAAUGGACGGAAGUCUGAACCAGCCAUGCCGCGUGGAGGAUGAAGGUCCUCUGGAUUGUAAACUUCUUUUAUAGGGGGCGAAAAAAGGGAAUUCUUUCUCGUCUGACGGUACCCCAUGAAUAAGCACCGGCUAACUCCGUGCCAGCAGCCGCGGUAAUACGGAGGGUGCAAGCGUUAUCCGGAUUCACUGGGUUUAAAGGGAGCGUAGGCGGGCAUUUAAGUCCGUGGUGAAAGCCCUCAGCUCAACUGAGGAACUGCCAUGGAUACUAUUUGUCUUGAAUGUCGUUGAGGUUUGCGGAAUGGGUCAUGUAGCGGUGAAAUGCUUAGAUAUGACCCGGAACACCAAUUGCGAAGGCAGCAGGCUAAACGAAUAUUGACGCUGAGGCUCGAAAGCGUGGGGAUCAAACAGGAUUAGAUACCCUGGUAGUCCACGCCCUAAACGAUGAUUACUCGACAUACGUGAUAUGACAAUGUGUGUCUGAGCGAAAGCAUUAAGUAAUCCACCUGGGAAGUACGACCGCAAGGUUGAAACUCAAAGGAAUUGACGG
Molecule: ribosomal RNA, 861 nt
Filed under: uncultured bacterium
Lineage: Bacteria
Description: bacterial SSU rRNA
Rfam family: Bacterial small subunit ribosomal RNA
Source: RNAcentral